AACGAACGCUGGCGGCAUGCCUAACACAUGCAAGUCGAACGCGUGUAGCAAUACACGAGUGGCGGACGGGUGAGUAACGCGUGGGAACCUGCCCAAUGGUAGGGAAUAACUGCGGGAAACUGCAGCUAAUACCCUAUGCUCCCUACGGGGGAAAGAUUUAUCGCCAUUGGAGGGGCCCGCGUCGGAUUAGCUAGUUGGCGGGGUAACGGCCCACCAAGGCUACGAUCCGUAGCUGGUCUGAGAGGAUGAUCAGCCACACUGGAACUGAGACACGGUCCAGACUCCUACGGGAGGCAGCAGUGGGGAAUUUGGACAAUGGGGGCAACCCUGAUCCAGCCAUUCCGCGUGAGUGAAGAAGGCCUU
Molecule: ribosomal RNA, 363 nt
Filed under: uncultured bacterium
Lineage: Bacteria
Description: bacterial SSU rRNA
Rfam family: Bacterial small subunit ribosomal RNA
Source: RNAcentral